Molecule: ribosomal RNA, 253 nt
Filed under: uncultured bacterium
Lineage: Bacteria
Description: partial 16S ribosomal RNA
Rfam family: Bacterial small subunit ribosomal RNA
Source: RNAcentral
UACGUAGGGAGCAAGCGUUGUCCGGAAUCAUUGGGCGUAAAGCGCGCGUAGGCGGCCCCGUAAGUCCGCUGUGAAAGUCAAAGGCUCAACCUUUGAAAGCCGGUGGAUACUGUGGGGCUAGAGUCCGGAAGAGGCGAGUGGAAUUCAUGGUGUAGCAGUGAAAUGCGUAGAGAUCAUGAGGAAGACCAGUGGCGAAGGCGGGUCUCUGGACAGUUCCUGACACUGAGGCACGAAGGCCAGGGGAGCAAACGGG